AUUGAACGCUGGCGGCAGGCCUAACACAUGCAAGUCGAGCGGUAACAGAGGAAAGCUUGCUUUCCUGCUGACGAGCGGCGGACGGGUGAGUAAUGCUUGGGGGGCUGCCUGAUAGCGGGGGACAACCACUGGAAACGGUGGCUAAUACCGCAUAAUGUUACGGACCGAAGCAGGGGAUCUUUCGGGACCUUGCGCUAUCAGAUGCACCCAAGUGAGAUUAGCUAGUUGGUAAGGUAAAGGCUUACCAAGGCGACGAUCUCUAGCUGGUUUGAGAGGAUGAUCAGCCACACUGGGACUGAGACACGGCCCAGACUCCUACGGGAGGCAGCAGUGGGGAAUAUUGCACAAUGGGGGAAACCCUGAUGCAGCCAUGCCGCGUGUGUGAAGAAGGCCUUCGGGUUGUAAAGCACUUUCAGUUGUGAGGAAAGGGUAAUCGCUAAUAUCGGUUAUCUGUGACGUUAGCAACAGAAGAAGCACCGGCUAACUCCGUGC
This 492-nucleotide ribosomal RNA is filed under the name marine proteobacterium 'Tomales Bay wc1-2 sm white'. RNAcentral describes it as "bacterial SSU rRNA". It matches the Rfam family "Bacterial small subunit ribosomal RNA", at positions 30 to 508 of the family's 1533-position model. The record is from RNAcentral. Lineage: Bacteria; Pseudomonadati; Pseudomonadota; Gammaproteobacteria.